UACGAAGGGGGCUAGCGUUGCUCGGAAUCACUGGGCGUAAAGCGCAUGUAGGCGGAUCUUUAAGUCAGGGGUGAAAUCCUGGAGCUCAACUCCAGAACUGCCUUUGAUACUGGGGAUCUCGAGUCCGGAAGAGGUGAGUGGAACUCCGAGUGUAGAGGUGAAAUUCGUAGAUAUUCGGAAGAACACCAGUGGCGAAGGCGGCUCACUGGUCCGGUACUGACGCUGAGGUGCGAAAGCGUGGGGAGCAAACAGG
This 253-nucleotide ribosomal RNA is filed under the name uncultured bacterium. Its description in RNAcentral is "partial 16S ribosomal RNA". It matches the Rfam family "Bacterial small subunit ribosomal RNA", at positions 524 to 776 of the family's 1533-position model. The record is from RNAcentral.